This 72-nucleotide transfer RNA is filed under the name Hoyosella subflava DQS3-9A1. RNAcentral describes it as "tRNA-Gln (TTG) (tRNA-Gln-TTG-1-1)". It matches the Rfam family "tRNA". From Rfam's summary of the family: Transfer RNA (tRNA) molecules are approximately 80 nucleotides in length. Their secondary structure includes four short double-helical elements and three loops (D, anti-codon, and T loops). Lineage: Bacteria; Bacillati; Actinomycetota; Actinomycetes; Mycobacteriales; Hoyosellaceae. RNAcentral also lists the same sequence under 1 other name. The record is from Rfam by way of RNAcentral.
UCCGCCGUGGUGUAAUCGGCAGCACCGCUGAUUUUGGUUCAGCUAGUUCAGGUUCGAGUCCUGGCGGCGGAG